This 406-nucleotide ribosomal RNA is filed under the name uncultured bacterium. RNAcentral's name for it is "bacterial SSU rRNA". It matches the Rfam family "Bacterial small subunit ribosomal RNA", at positions 355 to 776 of the family's 1533-position model. The record is from RNAcentral.
UGGGGAAUAUUGGGCAAUGGGGGAAACCCUGACCCAGCAACGCCGCGUGAAGGAAGAAGGCUUUCGGGUUGUAAACUUCUUUUAUGAGGGACGAAGAAGUGACGGUACCUCAUGAAUAAGCCACGGCUAACUACGUGCCAGCAGCCGCGGUAAUACGUAGGUGGCAAGCGUUGUCCGGAUUUACUGGGUGUAAAGGGCGCGUAGGCGGGAUAGCAAGUCAGGUGUGAAAUCCGGGGGCUCAACCCUCGAACUGCACUUGAAACUGUUAUUCUUGAGUGAUGGAGAGGCAGGCGGAAUUCCUAGUGUAGCGGUGAAAUGCGUAGAUAUUAGGAGGAACACCAGUGGCGAAGGCGGCCUGCUGGACAUUAACUGACGCUGAGGCGCGAAAGCGUGGGGAGCAAACAGG